RNAcentral lists this long non-coding RNA (316 nucleotides) under Physcomitrium patens. RNAcentral describes it as "long non-coding RNA (PPAT_LNC010604)". Lineage: Eukaryota; Viridiplantae; Streptophyta; Bryopsida; Funariales; Funariaceae. The record is from RNAcentral.
AGAGGGAUCACUAGAGUUUUCUGAAAGAAGAAUUCAAAAUUGGUGUGGGAUUUUUUAAGCCAUUUAUUAGAUUUUCUUCUUUUUUUUCUUGAAAUUUUGAAAAAAUUUGGAUCUUAUUAUUAUCUUUCUAUUAAGUCUUAGCACACAAAAAAAAAAAGCUAUAACAAGGGAGAUUCAUGUGAACUUCUAGAAAGAAGGAUUGUUAGAAUUUUUGGGUAGUGGAAUUCAAGACUAGUUCGGAGAUUUUCAUGCUAUUUGCUGCAUUUUCAUCUUUAUGUAUUAGAAUUUUGAAAGAAGCUAGAUCUUAUUAUUAUCU